RNAcentral lists this ribosomal RNA (253 nucleotides) under uncultured bacterium. RNAcentral describes it as "partial 16S ribosomal RNA". It matches the Rfam family "Bacterial small subunit ribosomal RNA", at positions 524 to 776 of the family's 1533-position model. The record is from RNAcentral.
UACAGAGGGGGCAAGCGCUAUUCGGAAUUAUUGGGCGUAAAGGGCGCGUAGGCGGCUUUGCAAGUGACGGGUGAAAUCCCUCGGCUUAACCGAGGAACUGCCUGUCAGACUGCAUGGCUUGAGACCGGGAGAGGUGAGUGGAAUUCCCAGUGUAGCGGUGAAAUGCGUAGAUAUUGGGAGGAACACCAGUGGCGAAGGCGGCUCACUGGACCGGUACUGACGCUGAGGCGCGAAAGCGUGGGGAGCAAACAGG